This is a long non-coding RNA of Oncorhynchus keta (chum salmon), 638 nucleotides long. RefSeq lists it as uncharacterized. The record is from RefSeq and is a predicted model, not a curated record. The transcript has 3 exons. NCBI's taxonomy places the organism in Eukaryota, Metazoa, Chordata, Actinopteri, Salmoniformes, Salmonidae.
GAAAGAACACACAGAUAUGAAGAGGGAAAAAAAAUAUUGGAGAAUUCAAACACAUCCACAUCACUGCUCUUCGAAUCACUCAAUAUACUGAGCAUCAGAUGACCUCCAUGCAGAGGGUCGGACAGCUCAUAGCCCAGGCAGCUGGCGGAGGGGAAGUGAGCCCAGAAGGUUCUGGACAGGUCUUCAAUCUUCUCAUAACCAGCAUGUUCGCGCAGAGCCUCCACCCAGCCGAAGAAGUCAGAGGUGGUCAGAGCCCAGUUGAGCAUGCUGCACUUCUCACGCCCCACAUCUGCUGCUGGAAAACCAAUGAGAGCUCGAGAAUGGAUGAGGAUGUCAAAAGGGAACCAAUCAGAGGUUGAGUGAAUGAUACUGCACUUCACUAAGACUGGACACAUGACACAACUUGACAUGUUGAUAGCUGUUUACUACAUACAUUAUUUUCAGUGUAAUACACAAUCUGUAUUCAUUGAUUAUACAUGUGUGUUUGUGACAUUGAUAGAACCACCGUACGGAACCUUUGCUAAAGGGCAGUCUGCCUCACCAAUGGGAAAAUCUACACUGCAAUUUUCCCACUUCCCAGCCUCCCUGCUACACCAACCAUAACAGCCUUGUUCAUUUCUCAAUGUUCACCUCUCUGU